RNAcentral lists this ribosomal RNA (680 nucleotides) under uncultured archaeon. RNAcentral's name for it is "bacterial SSU rRNA". It matches the Rfam family "Archaeal small subunit ribosomal RNA", at positions 163 to 845 of the family's 1478-position model. The record is from RNAcentral.
UAGGAUGCUGGAAUGCACUUAGUCUGAAAACUCCGGUGCCUAAGGAUGAAUCUGCGGACUAUCAGGUUGUAGUCAGGGUAAUGACCUGACUAGCCUAUGACGGAUAUGGGUUGUGGGAGCAAUAACCCAGAGAUGAUAUCUGAGACACGAUAUCAGGCCCUACGGGGCGCAGCAGGCGCGAAAACUUCGCAAUGUGCGAAAGCACGACGAGGGAAUCCCAAGUGCUUGCACGUAAGUGUAAGCUGUUUCUCUGUUUAAAACGCAGAGAGAGUAAGGGCUGGGUAAGACGGGUGCCAGCCGCCGCGGUAAUACCUGCAGCUCAAGUGGUGGCCGUUAUUAUUGGGCCUAAAACGUCCGUAGCCGGUUUAUUAAAUGCCUGGGUAAAUCGGACCGCUUAACGGUUCGAAUUCCGGGUAGACUGAUAAACUUGAGACCGGGAGAAGUUAGAGGUACUCCUGGGGUAGAGGUGAAAUUCUGUAAUCCUAGGGGGACCACCAGUGGCGAAAGCGUCUAACUAGAACGGGUCUGACGGUGAGGGACGAAGCCCUGGGGCGCAAACGGGAUUAGAUACCCCGGUAGUCCAGGGUGUAAACGCUGCUUGCUUGAUGUUAGUCGGGCUCCGAGCCCGAUUAGUGUCGGAGAGAAGUUGUUAAGCAAGCUGCCUGGGAAGUACGGUCGCA